RNAcentral lists this ribosomal RNA (632 nucleotides) under uncultured Bacteroides sp. Its description in RNAcentral is "bacterial SSU rRNA". It matches the Rfam family "Bacterial small subunit ribosomal RNA", at positions 85 to 715 of the family's 1533-position model. The record is from RNAcentral. Lineage: Bacteria; Pseudomonadati; Bacteroidota; Bacteroidia; Bacteroidales; Bacteroidaceae.
UCGCCGGCGACCGGCGCACGGGUGAGUAACGCGUAUCCCACCUUCCGUACACUCAGGGAUAGCCUUUCGAAAGAAAGAUUAAUACCUGAUGGUAUGAUGAGAUUGCAUGAUAGCAUCAUUAAAGAUUUAUCGGUGUACGAUGGGGAUGCGUUCCAUUAGGUAGUAGGCGGGGUAACGGCCCACCUAGCCUACGAUGGAUAGGGGUUCUGAGAGGAAGGUCCCCCACAUUGGAACUGAGACACGGUCCAAACUCCUACGGGAGGCAGCAGUGAGGAAUAUUGGUCAAUGGACGAGAGUCUGAACCAGCCAAGUAGCGUGAAGGAUGAAGGUCCUACGGAUUGUAAACUUCUUUUAUAAGGGAAUAAAACCUCCCACGUGUGGGAGCUUGUAUGUACCUUAUGAAUAAGCAUCGGCUAACUCCGUGCCAGCAGCCGCGGUAAUACGGAGGAUGCGAGCGUUAUCCGGAUUUAUUGGGUUUAAAGGGAGCGCAGACGGGUCGUUAAGUCAGCUGUGAAAGUUUGGGGCUCAACCUUAAAAUUGCAGUUGAUACUGGCGUCCUUGAGUGCGGUUGAGGUGUGCGGAACUCGUGGUGUAGCGGUGAAAUGCUUAGAUAUCACGAAGAACUCCGAUUG